UGGGGAAUAUUGCACAAUGGGGGAAACCCUGAUGCAGCGACGCCGCGUGAGUGAAGAAGUAUUUCGGUACGUAAAGCUCUAUCAGCAGGGAAGAAAAUGACGGUACCUGACUAAGAAGCCCCGGCUAACUACGUGCCAGCAGCCGCGGUAAUACGUAGGGGGCAAGCGUUAUCCGGAUUUACUGGGUGUAAAGGGAGCGUAGACGGCUUUGCAAGUCUGAAGUGAAAGCCCGGGGCUCAACCCCGGGACUGCUUUGGAAACUGUAGAGCUAGAGUGCAGGAGAGGUAAGUGGAAUUCCUAGUGUAGCGGUGAAAUGCGUAGAUAUUAGGAGGAACACCAGUGGCGAAGGCGUCUUACUGGACUGUAACUGACGUUGAGGCUCGAAAGCGUGGGGAGCAAACAGG
Molecule: ribosomal RNA, 404 nt
Filed under: uncultured prokaryote
Also listed under: 1 other name
Description: bacterial SSU rRNA
Rfam family: Bacterial small subunit ribosomal RNA
Source: RNAcentral